GCUUGCUCUCUUGCACUCUGGCUCCUGAAGAUGUAAGCAAUAAAGCUUUGCCGCAGAAGAUUCUGGUUUGUUGCGUCUUUCCUGGCCGGUCGUGAGAACGCGUCUAAUAACAAUUGGUGCUGAAACCCGGGGCGAGAAGACCUGGGAAGAGAAAAUCCGGGACGAGAAAAAACUCGGGACUGGCGCAAGGAAGAUCCCUCAUUCCAGAACCAGAACUGCGGGUCGCGGUAAUAAAGGUUCCCGUAAAGCAGACUGUUAAGAAGGAUUCAACUGUAUGAAUUCAGAACUUUUCAGCUGGGGAACGAGAGUACCAGUGAGUAUAGCUUUACGAGAAAUGCAAAUAUGGGUGGCAUCUGACAUCAAAGAAGGAAGAAGUGAGACCCAGACAACUUCAAGGCAUCUCUCAGAUUUAUAUUCUACUUCACUCCCUGGAGCCCUUUUAUAGACUACAAAAGGCAAAAAAAUGGAGCUGUCUGAUCAAGUACGCUAUUUCUGAUGCUCCUCAGAGUCACGUAUCUUCAAUACAGCCAGAAAAGAAGAAAAAAAGAAUCACACAUACGCCUACUUAGAUAUACUCAUUCUCCUUUUUAUCAUGUUCGUAGCUAUUUCUAUUGUCUGUCUGCAAAGAAGCUAACUGCAAUGAGGUUCUUGUUUUAAAACAGAAGGAAUCCAAGAGCUGGCAUUGUUACAACUGCUGGUAGCAAAAACAAUGACACUCAAAGUAUUUUGGCUUUGGAAGUCGUCCUUGUGCAUUAAGCAACAUGUCCCUGAGAGAAUCAAAUCACAAUAUGUCACUGCAAACCUUUGUUUUAUUAAACCACCUUAGUGGGAAAAAAAUGAAUAAAACUAUUCAACUGUUUGAGGAGGAAAAAAAAGAUGUAGACAUUACAAGAACAAUCUAUUUCUAAACCACUGCUUUGAUGGAAAAGCUAAAUUUGUAUAUACACUGUUCUCCAUGCAUCUCAUCAUUGCCUCUACAACACAUGCUAGUACUGUCUCAUCAAAAGAUACGUAGAUUUAAAAUGGUCUUUUUUCUACAUUGGCCUCUAAAUCCUAGUGGGGAUUUCAACAAAAGGGGGAUUACAGUAUUCAUAUUUACUGCUGUGAGAUGCAGAGCCUUGUAUUUAGCAUGUGUUCAGAAAAAUGGCAAAUGAAUGAAUAAUGCAUGUUUUUAAUGAAGUUAUGCAAACAUGAUUUCAUUUCACCUGAUUCCUCUUGUUCAUACUUUCUACUUCUAUGUGGCAAUGGUGAUGAAAAAGCAGACACUUGCAAAGUUCUGACGAACAUCAUUAUAGAUAUGGAAAGAAUUGAAUUUACCUAAAAUACCAUUACAUAUAUUGGGAAGCCAUUGUAGUAAGAUUGUGUGUCCUGAUUUGAAAAAUCUGCACUGAAAAUAAUACAUAAUAAAGGAAACCAACAAAGUGGAUUAUAUAUUCAUGUUCCUUUUCUUGUGUUUGCCAGGGAAGGGUUGGGGGAAGGUACUGGCUAUUGAACCCAGAGCUUUCUGCAUUCUGUGUCAGCAUUGUACCCGUAAGGCAUGUCUUCACUCAUUGCUUUAUAUUUUAUUUUGAAGCAAAGUCUUUCUAAGUUGUUUAAACUUGACUUGAAUUCAUUUGUAAUCUAGUCUUUGAAGUCUAUUUCUCCUGUUUUAGCUUCUUGAAUAGUUAAGAUAUAUGUUUAUUCCAACAAAUUCAGUAUAACUCCCCUCAAUAACUUAACACUUAAAAUUACCAAUGAAUUAUACUUCCUCCUAUCACAAUUAUAAUUCUACUGCAGGUGAAACACAUACAUACAUGCACACACACACACACACACACACACACACACACACACAAUCCAUACACACGUUCCUUGAUGAAACUAUUCCUCUUGUACUUUUGUAUCACUAAAAUUAUCUUGCUUGUUUUUCCUGAACUCUUUUCAAGCUUUCUGUCCUAAAACUAAGUAGGAUGCCAGGUAGAUCUAGCAAGAGAGGGAGGAGAAGUGGGACAAGUUGAAUAAUUAAUCAAACUAGUAAUUAAUUAUACCACCUAGGACACUGAUUCUAAAUUUGGGUGAAGAAUAAAGUCACUGGCAGGAAGGAAAGGAGGAAAUGUGAGAGAGCAAAAGAAUAAGAUAUAGACAAAUUUAUUGAUAACUGGUUAGAUAGGAACUAUCUAACUGUCAGGUAGGAACUUACUGACUGGAGUAGUCUUUACAUUAAAUCUGUGGACCGACUAAUUUUUAUCAUUGGACAAGCUGGGAAGAGUAUGUAAUGCAGGAUAAAGUUGGGGGUGGUUACACUUAUAGGAAACUGGUCAGGAGUCAUGAAGAUCAGAGACUCCACAGUAUAAAUCAUCAGGCAAGAUAUGUGUGCAGUACUGAGAAGCCAACAAGAGUCAGACAAGAUUUCCCAGCAGGCUCCCCCAACACAGCUACAAGAAUGUGGCAUCAGGAACUGUGAGAUUUAAACAGCUCAAAUAAUUCCUUCUUAAAAAUCAUGAAGGUAUGACAUAUCCUGUAAAGUGUGAGACUGCAAUGUAAGUCCACCUUGAUCAAGAUAGUAAUCAUUUCAGGUAGCUCAGAAUAUUCUCUCUUUUGAAUAUCCAAGCAAUGUUUAAUAUAUUCAAACUCUUUUCAAAGUUAAAGGGAUCCAUAGUGAUGUUUUUCUUUUUCAUUUCAUCAACAUAUGAUUUGUAUUCUUUCUAGACUCACCUUAUUUGGAGAAUGACAGUUGAAAAUAUUUUCAAAGAGCUAACGUUGCCUCUGUUACUUUUAUCUAUUAUGCAUAUAUUGUCUACUUGAUAGAUUUAUGGUUUGGUAUGUGCAUUAUUUUCUCUAUUUCUACUUUGUGCAAGUUUCAAAUGCUGGUCUUAUCUGGUUUUAAUCAAAGGUCCCAAAUUUUUAAUGCUCCUUCAUUUUGAAUACAUUCAAUAAAAACUAUAAAUUUCUUGUGUGCUUUCUUUU
This 2946-nucleotide long non-coding RNA is filed under the name Mus musculus (house mouse). Its description in RNAcentral is "predicted gene, 19757 (Gm19757)". Lineage: Eukaryota; Metazoa; Chordata; Mammalia; Rodentia; Muridae. The record is from RNAcentral.